RNAcentral lists this ribosomal RNA (497 nucleotides) under uncultured bacterium. RNAcentral describes it as "partial 16S ribosomal RNA". It matches the Rfam family "Bacterial small subunit ribosomal RNA", at positions 28 to 507 of the family's 1533-position model. The record is from RNAcentral.
GACGAACGCUGGCGGCGUGCCUAAUACAUGCAAGUAGAACGCUGAAGAGAGGAGCUUGCUCUUCUUGGAUGAGUUGCGAACGGGUGAGUAACGCGUAGGUAACCUGCCUUGUAGCGGGGGAUAACUAUUGGAAACGAUAGCUAAUACCGCAUAACAAUGGAUGACACAUGUCAUUUAUUUGAAAGGGGCAAUUGCUCCACUACAAGAUGGACCUGCGUUGUAUUAGCUAGUAGGUGAGGUAAUGGCUCACCUAGGCGACGAUACAUAGCCGACCUGAGAGGGUGAUCGGCCACACUGGGACUGAGACACGGCCCAGACUCCUACGGGAGGCAGCAGUAGGGAAUCUUCGGCAAUGGGGGCAACCCUGACCGAGCAACGCCACGUGAGUGAAGAAGGUUUUCGGAUCGUAAAGCUCUGUUGUAAGUCAAGAACGGGUGUGAGAGUGGAAAGUUCACACUGUGACGGUAGCUUACCAGAAAGAGACGGCUAACUACGUG